AACGCACAUUGCGCCCGCCAGUACUCUGGCGGGCAUGCCUGUUCGAGCGUCAUUUCAACCCUCAGGCCCCCGGGCCUGGUGUUGGGGACCGGCUCACGGGGGGGAGGCACAGCGCCCUCCCCCCCCUGCCGCCCCCUAAAUGGAUCGGCGGCCACGCCGCGGCCUCCCCUGCGCAGUAACAUACCACCUCGCAGGCGGCUGGCUCGGCGCGGCCACUGCCGUAAAACGCCCAACUUCUCCAGAGUUGACCUCGAAUCAGGUAGGAAUACCCGCUGAACUUAA
RNAcentral lists this unclassified non-coding RNA (282 nucleotides) under uncultured fungus. RNAcentral describes it as "partial contains 5.8S ribosomal RNA, internal transcribed spacer 2, and large subunit ribosomal RNA". The stretch from base 1 to 52 matches the Rfam family "5.8S ribosomal RNA", at positions 103 to 154 of the family's 154-position model. The record is from RNAcentral. Lineage: Eukaryota; Fungi.